RNAcentral lists this ribosomal RNA (899 nucleotides) under uncultured bacterium. RNAcentral describes it as "bacterial SSU rRNA". It matches the Rfam family "Bacterial small subunit ribosomal RNA", at positions 42 to 988 of the family's 1533-position model. The record is from RNAcentral.
GUGGGGCCUAUACUGCAAGUCGAGCGGAACACUUCGGGUGUCGAGCGGCGGACGGCAGAGUAACACGUAGGAACGUACCCCAAACUGAGGGAUAAGCACCAGAAAUGGUGUCUAAUACCGCAUGUGAUCUUCGGAUUAAAGCUUCGGCGGUUUGGGAACGGCCUGCGCAUGAUUAGCUUGUUGGUGAGGUAAUUGCUCACCAAGGCGACGAUCAUUAGCUGGUCUGAGAGGAUGAUCAGCCUGACUGGGACUGAGAACGGCCCAGACUCCUACGGGAGGCAGCAGUAGGGAAUUUUCCACAAUGGGCGAAAGCCUGAUGGAGCAACGCCGCGUGCAGGAUGAAUGCCUUCGGGUUGUAAACUGCUUUUAUCUGUGACGAUAUUGACGGUAGCAGAUGAAUAAGGAUCGGCUAACUCCGUGCCAGCAGCCGCGGUCAUACGGAGGAUCCAAGCGUUAUCCGGAAUUACUGGGCGUAAAGAGUUGUGUAGGCGGUUUGUAAAGCAAAUAGUGAAAGCGUGGGGCUCAACCUCAUAACCAUUAUUUGAACUCACAGACUAGAGUGUGGAAGAGGUAGCUGGAAUUCCUUGUGUAGGAGUGAAAUCCGUAGAUAUAAGGAGGAACACCGAUGGCGUAGGCAGGCUACUGGUCCAUUACUGACGCUCAGACACGAAAGCAUGGGGAGCGACCGGGAUUAGAUACCCCGUUAGUCCAUGCCGUAAACGAUGGAUGCUAGCUGUGUGGAGUAUCGACCCUCUACGUAGCGAAGCUAACGCGUUAAGCAUCCCGGCCUGUGGAGUACGAGCGCAAGCUUAAAACAUAAAAGGAAUUGACGGGACCCGCACAGGCGGUGGAGCGUGUCUUUAUCGAUGAUAGCGAGACCCUUACCCAGGCUUGACAUC